This 777-nucleotide ribosomal RNA is filed under the name uncultured Neocallimastigales. RNAcentral describes it as "partial large subunit ribosomal RNA". It matches the Rfam family "Eukaryotic large subunit ribosomal RNA", at positions 24 to 629 of the family's 3401-position model. The record is from RNAcentral. Lineage: Eukaryota; Fungi; Neocallimastigomycota; Neocallimastigomycetes; Neocallimastigales.
UAUCUCUGUAGAGUCUGCAUAUCAAUAAGCGGAGGAAAAGAAACUAACAUAGGAUUCCCUCAGUAACGGCGAGUGAAGCGGGAAGAGCUCAAAUUUGAAAUCUUCAAGGUUUUACCUUGACGAAUUGUAGUUUAAAGAAGUGUUUUCUGUUGAAGUUUCGGUAAAAGUUCUUUGGAAUAGGACAUCAUAGAGGGUGAGAAUCCCGUAUUUGACCAUUAUUUUCAGCUGUGUGAUACACUUUCAAAGAGUCGGAUUGUUUGGGAAUGCAGUCCAAAAUGGGUGGUAAAUUUCAUCUAAAGCUAAAUACUGGCGAGAGACCGAUAGCGAACAAGUACCGUGAGGGAAAGAUGAAAAGAACUUUGAAAAGAGAGUUAAACAGUACGUGAAAUUGUCAAAAGGGAAGCGUUUGACACCAGUGUUGUUUUCUCGAAAAUCAAUUAAAAAAGUCUGGAUUUUGUGUUGUAUUGACCUUUAAUCAGCUUUCUGCACUCUUUUCUUGUCUUUUUUUAAUGCACUUUUCGUUUAACAAGUCAACAUCAGUUUCUUUUGUUGUAAAAGGGUCAUUGGAAGGUGGCUUUCUUUUCGGAGAAAGUGUUUAUAGCCUUUGCUCUCUGCAAUCGGAGAGAUUGAGGUCUGCAGCGUAGAUCCUCGGGGUUAGAUACAUUUGUGCUAAGUUAUAGCCUUUCAUAGACAACUUGUUGACUAUGAUCAGUCAUGUAGCUUACUCGCUUAUGCUAUUUUACCUACGCUUAGGAUGUUGAUAGUCACAGCGUGUAC